Molecule: long non-coding RNA, 369 nt
Organism: Branchiostoma floridae (Florida lancelet)
Lineage: Eukaryota; Metazoa; Chordata; Leptocardii; Amphioxiformes; Branchiostomatidae
Exons: 2
Source: RefSeq, a predicted model, not a curated record
CUGAGACACAAUAAAACAUACAUAACCAACAGGUACCUGGACUCCUGGUUCACUGUGUACACCUGGAGACAAUAAAACAUACAUAACCAACAGGUACCUGGACUCCUGGUUCACUGUGUACACCUGAGACACAAUAAAACAUACAUAACCAACAGGUGCCUGGACUCCUGGUUCACUGUGUACACCUGGAGACAAUAAAACAUACAUAACCAACAGGUACCUGGACUCCUGGUUCACUGUGUACACCUGAGACACAAUAAAACAUACAUAACCAACAGGUGCCUGGACUCCUGGUUCACUGUGUACACCUGGAGACAAUAAAACAUACAUAACCAACAGGUACCUGGACUCCUGGUUCACUGUGUACAC